This 497-nucleotide ribosomal RNA is filed under the name uncultured bacterium. RNAcentral describes it as "partial 16S ribosomal RNA". It matches the Rfam family "Bacterial small subunit ribosomal RNA", at positions 28 to 507 of the family's 1533-position model. The record is from RNAcentral.
GAUGAACGCUGGCGGCGUGCCUAAUACAUGCAAGUCGAGCGAACAGACGAGGAGCUUGCUCCUCUGACGUUAGCGGCGGACGGGUGAGUAACACGUGGAUAACCUACCUAUAAGACUGGGAUAACUUCGGGAAACCGGAGCUAAUACCGGAUAAUAUAUUGAACCGCAUGGUUCAAUAGUGAAAGACGGUUUUGCUGUCACUUAUAGAUGGAUCCGCGCCGCAUUAGCUAGUUGGUAAGGUAACGGCUUACCAAGGCAACGAUGCGUAGCCGACCUGAGAGGGUGAUCGGCCACACUGGAACUGAGACACGGUCCAGACUCCUACGGGAGGCAGCAGUAGGGAAUCUGCCGCAAUGGGCGAAAGCCUGACGGAGCAACGCCGCGUGAGUGAUGAAGGUCUUCGGAUCGUAAAACUCUGUUAUUAGGGAAGAACAAAUGUGUAAGUAACUAUGCACGUCUUGACGGUACCUAAUCAGAAAGCCACGGCUAACUAAGUG